RNAcentral lists this ribosomal RNA (506 nucleotides) under uncultured bacterium. Its description in RNAcentral is "partial 16S ribosomal RNA". It matches the Rfam family "Bacterial small subunit ribosomal RNA", at positions 29 to 523 of the family's 1533-position model. The record is from RNAcentral.
AGUGAACGCUGGCGGUAGGCCUAACACAUGCAAGUCGAACGGCAGCACAGAGGAGCUUGCUCCUUGGGUGGCGAGUGGCGGACGGGUGGGGAAUACAUCGGAAUCUACUCUGUCGUGGGGGAUAACGUAGGGAAACUUACGCUAAUACCGCAUACGACCUACGGGUGAAAGCAGGGGACCUUCGGGCCUUGCGCGAUUGAAUGAGCCGAUGUCGGAUUAGCUAGUUGGCGGGGUAAAGGCCCACCAAGGCGACGAUCCGUAGCUGGUCUGAGGGGAUGAUCAGCCACACUGGAACUGAGACACGGUCCAGACUCCUACGGGAGGCAGCAGUGGGGAAUAUUGGACAAUGGGCGCAAGCCUGAUCCAGCCAUACCGCGUGGGUGAAGAGGGCCUUCGGGUUGUAAAGCCCUUUUGUUGGGAAAGAAAUCCAGCUGGCUAAUACCCGGUUGGGAUGACGGUACCCAAAGAAUAAGCACCGGCUAACUUCGUGCCAGCAGCCGCAGUAA